AUUGAACGCUGGCGGCAGGCCUAACACAUGCAAGUCGAGCGAGCGGCGGACGGGUGAGUAAUGUCUGGGAAACUGCCUGAUGGAGGGGGAUAACUACUUGCAACGGUAGCUAAUACCUAAUACUCUCAGAUGUGUCCAGAUGGGAUUAGCUAGUAGGUGGGGUAACGGCUCACCUCGGCGACGAUCCCUAGCUGGUCUGAGAGGAUGACCGACCACACUGGAACGGAGACACGGUCCAGACUCCUACGGGAGGCAGCAGUGGGGAAUAUUGCACAAUGGGCGCAAGCCUGAUGCAGCCAUGCCGGGUGUGUGAAGAAGGCCUUCGGGUUGUAAAGCACUGUCAGCGGGGAGGCGUUACCCGCAGAAGAAGCACCGGCUAACUCCGUGCCAGCAGCCGCGGUAAUU
RNAcentral lists this ribosomal RNA (405 nucleotides) under uncultured bacterium. Its description in RNAcentral is "partial 16S ribosomal RNA". It matches the Rfam family "Bacterial small subunit ribosomal RNA", at positions 30 to 525 of the family's 1533-position model. The record is from RNAcentral.